This 691-nucleotide ribosomal RNA is filed under the name uncultured Pelagibacteraceae bacterium. Its description in RNAcentral is "bacterial SSU rRNA". It matches the Rfam family "Bacterial small subunit ribosomal RNA", at positions 147 to 874 of the family's 1533-position model. Lineage: Bacteria; Pseudomonadati; Pseudomonadota; Alphaproteobacteria; Candidatus Pelagibacterales; Candidatus Pelagibacteraceae. The record is from RNAcentral.
CACGAGGAAACUUGUGCUAAUACCUCAUAAGUCUUUACGGAGAAAGCUUUAUGCGCCAAUGGAUGAGCCCGCACUUGAUUAGUUUGUUGGUGGGGUAAUGGCCUACCAAGACAAUGAUCAAUAGCUGAUUUGAGAGGAUGAUCAGCCACAUUGGGACUGAGACACGGCCCAAACUCCUACGGGAGGCAGCAGUAGGGAAUCUUGCACAAUGGAGGAAACUCUGAUGCAGCGAUGCCGCGUGAGUGAAGAAGGCCCUUGGGUUGUAAAGCUCUUUCGUCGGGGAAGAAAAUGACUGUACCCGAAUAAGAAGGUCCGGCUAACUUCGUGCCAGCAGCCGCGGUAAUACGAAGGGACCUAGCGUAGUUCGGAAUUACUGGGCUUAAAGAGUUCGUAGGUGGUUAAAAAAGUUGGUGGUGAAAGCCCAGAGCUUAACUCUGGAACGGCCAUCAAAACUUUUUAGCUAGAGUAUGAUAGAGGAAAGCAGAAUUUCUAGUGUAGAGGUGAAAUUCGUAGAUAUUAGAAAGAAUACCAAUUGCGAAGGCAGCUUUCUGGAUCAUUACUGACACUGAGGAACGAAAGCAUGGGUAGCGAAGAGGAUUAGAUACCCUCGUAGUCCAUGCCGUAAACGAUGUGUGUUAGAUGUUGGAAAUUUAUUUUCAGUAUCGCAGCGAAAGCAAUAAACACACCGCCU